RNAcentral lists this ribosomal RNA (460 nucleotides) under uncultured bacterium. RNAcentral describes it as "partial 16S ribosomal RNA". It matches the Rfam family "Bacterial small subunit ribosomal RNA", at positions 338 to 795 of the family's 1533-position model. The record is from RNAcentral.
CCUACGGGUGGCAGCAGUGAGGAAUAUUGGUCAAUGGACGCAAGUCUGAACCAGCCAUGCCGCGUGCAGGAUGACGGCUCUAUGAGUUGUAAACUGCUUUUGUACGAGGGUAAACCCCGAUACGUGUAUCGGGAUGAAAGUAUCGUACGAAUAAGGAUCGGCUAACUCCGUGCCAGCAGCCGCGGUAAUACGGAGGAUCCGAGCGUUAUCCGGAUUUAUUGGGUUUAAAGGGUGCGUAGGCGGUUUGAUAAGUUAGAGGUGAAAUGUCGGGGCUCAACCCCGAAACUGCCUCUAAUACUGUUGUACUAGAGAAUAGUUGCGGUAGGCGGAAUGUAUGGUGUAGCGGUGAAAUGCUUAGAGAUCAUACAGAACACCGAUUGCGAAGGCAGCUUACCAAACUAUAUCUGACGUUGAGGCACGAAAGCGUGGGUAGCAAACAGGAUUAGAUACCCUAGUAGUC